Long non-coding RNA from Drosophila persimilis, 1119 nucleotides. RefSeq lists it as uncharacterized. Lineage: Eukaryota; Metazoa; Arthropoda; Insecta; Diptera; Drosophilidae. The transcript has 4 exons. The record is from RefSeq and is a predicted model, not a curated record.
CGCGCAUCCUUUAAAGGAGAUGGACAGCCGGACAGAGGUCGGCCUCGCCAAGUGCGUGCCCUGCAUCCCCCCAGCUACGACUGUCUACCUGAAUGUGCCGCUGCCGAUGUCCGGCAAGAAUAUCCGGGCCAGAAGCCUCGCAACAUUGCCGUGCACACAAUGAAGGCGUCUGCUCUUCUGUAGACAGCCUACAGGCCUUUAUCCAGGCAUCAUUUAGUCGAUGGCAAUGAGCGGCUGGCCUACAAGCUGGAAGGAGUCACGGCGCUGGCCCUGGUUCAACAGUCCGAUAUGAUCUACUAUGCCCAUGGCAAGCGAAUCGAUAAAAGGAACAAGUGAUCAACAUUGCCGCCGUGGAGGGACUUGUGUACUGGCUGGACGACAAGACCGGAGUGGAACGGAUCACUUUCAACGGUGAGCGUCGUUCCGCGGAGCUGUAGCGUCUGCCACAGAUCACCGAUCACAUAACCACACGCGUCUGCACAGCAGCACAAACUAUUUCCUCAUCUGCAUAGCCAUUGGCACGCAGAGUGUGCGACGUCUGCUCGUGCCCCCAGUAUCUGAUGAUGCUGGAGGACAAGGAGAACUGCCGCGCGUAUCCGGCCUGGGGGCCAGAUCAUUAAACGUGCGCGGCCCCAGUGGCGGGAACAGUGACAUGAACAAGGACUGCACACCCGGCUCCUGGCGCUGUGAAGCCCAAAUGUGAAGUGGGAUGUCCCACAUGCCGGUGGAUCAGUUCAGCUGCCAGUCGAGUGCAUCGACAAGGCUCUGGUCUGGGAUGCCACCACCAACUGUGACAAUGGCCACGAUGUGGUCGACUGCUUUAAGCGGCCAGGAGACUUUCAGUGUCCCAUCAACAAGCUUUGCAUAUCGGCCGCCCUGCUCUGCGAUGGCUGGAACUGUGCCGAUGGUGCAGACGAUUUUCCCCAUAUUUUUUUUUUUCAUGGCGGCGCAUGUCCCUGACUCGGAUAUUCUCGCGCACCGAGCCAAAGAAUCGAGCUCUGAGCAGUAAGAAAAGUCAAAAAUAGUUAAAAAUCUUCAUAUGAAAUAAACGAAAUUGGGGUAUAUGUAUGUACAUAGGCCCAUACUACGGCUUACACACAACAUGUACCAGCAUCAUUA